Molecule: ribosomal RNA, 346 nt
Filed under: uncultured bacterium
Lineage: Bacteria
Description: partial 16S ribosomal RNA
Rfam family: Bacterial small subunit ribosomal RNA
Source: RNAcentral
CCUACGGGAGGCAGCAGUGGGGAAUAGUGCGCAAUGGGCGAAAGCCUGACGCAGCGACGCCGCGUGAGGGAUGAAGGUCUUCGGAUCGUAAACCUCUGUCAGCAGGGAAGAACGGUCACUGGGCUAAGCAGCAGUGAAUUGACGGUACCGGCAAAGGAAGCACCGGCUAACUCCGUGCCAGCAGCCGCGGUAAUACGGAGGGUGCGAGCGUUAAUCGGAAUUACGGGGCGUAAAGCGCGCGUAGGCGGUAUGUCAAGUCAAGGGUGAACUCCCCGCGCUCAACGUGGGAACUGCCUUUGAAACUGGCAACCUGGAGUGUGUGAGAGGAUAGUGGAAUUCCAGGUGU